Molecule: long non-coding RNA, 2239 nt
Organism: Oryzias latipes (Japanese medaka)
Lineage: Eukaryota; Metazoa; Chordata; Actinopteri; Beloniformes; Adrianichthyidae
Source: RefSeq, a predicted model, not a curated record
CUGGUUUCCUGGUUUGGCCUUGGUGGUGGCAUGAGUUCUGACCCUGGGGCAUGAGAGUAACUUGGUGGCUGGACCUGGCUGAAGGUGGCUGCCUCCUUUUAUCCUUAUGGUAGCUGGUACUCCUGGUGAGGGUUUUGGAUCGGAGAUCUCCCUUGGUGGUGUUUGUGGCUACCCACCAGGGGGGUAUUCCAGAAAGCAGGUUAUGCUAGCUCUCACGUUUUCACCAUCUGGAAAGUCCCUGCUUUGUCCUUAACUCACCUGUCCCUGCACUUCCGUCACUUUCUGCAGCUCAAAGCUGAAAGUCAGUCUCCAUUCCUGUCCGUCUCUGAUGCUUGAACAUAAAACAGUCUUCGGUGUUUCCACGCGACACACGAAGGAAGCCACCAGGAUGUUCCUCUUCUGGACCGUCAGCCUGAUGUUUGCGCUCCAACGCGUCUCCUCAGAUGAAAAGGUCUCCCUGAGCUGCAACCAAACGGUGGAGGUGACGACUGGAGGAGCGGUGACCCUCCAAUGCUCGGUGAUGUGGAGUGGUCCCAUAGCAAAGUGUGGGAACAUCAGCUUCACCUGGAAUACAAACCAGAGCAAUCUCUGCAGGAGCAACGUCUGCACCGAGGAGAAUGCCACCCUCAUCAGGAUGGAGAUGAGGAGCGUUUGGGAGGAGCAAACUGUCACAGUGGGAGUUUUAUCGGGGUGUGGCAUGGAUAGCUCCACCAUCAGGGUAAAGUUAGUGGAAGAUGAGAUCACUUUCAAUAAAAGCAGCUCUACGACAGAAAACCUGACUGUCCUGAAGGUCCUACCUGUAGCAGCAGCCGCCGCCUGUUCUGCUUUAUAUGAGGAAAAGACUCUUAAAAAACCGGAAGCAGGAGAACGUGGACCAGGAGGAACAACUAACCGAAGAACAGCUACAGGAAUACAGGAAUACAGCUUCUGCAGAGGCCAGAGAAGGAAAGCAGCCGGGGUCAAACACAGGUGGACGCGUCUCCAAAGUCUGAGGACGUUCAGGUCCUGCAGGACGCCGGGUGGAGAAGCUCUGACCAGCAGGGGGCGUCGCUUUGGAAGGACAGGUUUUCUGAUACAAACGGGAUUAUUCAGGAUGACUUUGUUUGAUCUUCAGCUCAAAACUGCUGUAAAUAAUUAGUCCCGGGGUCACUUCAAGGUCAAAGGUCAAUGCACUCAAUCCUGCCAUUUGUUUGAGCUCCGCUUGGUCAGCAAUGUUCAGUGAAAUUCACGUGUAAAUAAUUCCUCAGGUUCAUUGGAGGUCAAAUGUUUUUAACUGCUGUGAAUUGGUGCUUUAUUUAUUUGAAUAAACUUUAUAAAUAAUCCUAACUCCUCUGAUUUCAGGGACAAAAACUGGAUCCUAAAUGAGAAAGAAGCAGAACCAGAGAGACCAGCAGCUGGACGGUCAGAAACUCCUGAAUUCAUGAAAGUCAAACCUUGAAUUUAAAGUCAUUUGGUUUAAGAGUGAAAAGUUUUUUCAGGAUUCACAUCGUUUUCAUCUAAAAAAAAAAAGUCACAAAGGAGGGAAAACAAGACAAAAAAAAAUGAAGAGGAAUUUCUACAGUUUUAUCGGUUGAGCCGGUGAUUUUUUCUUUUUCUUUUUUUUUCCCUCGGGCAAAGAGGUUUUUUGUUAGCAUGGAGACUAGAGAAGUCUCCAGAAUUGAACUGUGAUCAAAUAAUUACAGACAGAUUAUUAUAUUGUUAUAUUUGUGUUCAUUUGAUGUUUAAUUAAAACUAUUAUUUGUUAUGUAGGCGAUAAUGCCCGAGGCGGUUCUGAUAUCAGAAUUCAUGGACGGCAGAGGCCUGAUGGCGUCGGAUGUUUGUUUCGUCUCCAUGGACGUUAUCCCAUUUAAACCACGGUGACUUGUGAAAAAAACGAAAUAUUAAAUCAAUUAGUACUUUAAUCCUGUUAUUGUUAAAGACCUAUUUUCAUAAAAAGCAGACUAUUUGUAACGUGGUGAGACCUGUUGUUAUGGUAACGGAUGCAGGACCAGCACCGCCAUCGCUCUGCAGCAGCAGAGGAGAGAGGAACAUAUGAUGAUCGUCAUGUUUGAUCAAAGCAUCACUUCAGGGAGAAAGUUCACCUCUAAUUGGUUGUUUUUAUCCAGAUGAUGAAGCUAAAGUUUGUUUCAAAGUCUAAAUACUGCAGCUCCUCCUCGUCUAGUUCAAGUUAUUCCAGUUAUUAUGACUUCCACUUAAAGACGUCUGGUUCCAACAUGGCAGCGUCCGUAUCAUGAAAAAA